This 248-nucleotide long non-coding RNA is filed under the name Homo sapiens (human). RNAcentral describes it as "non-protein coding lnc-ANKRD34B-7:1". The record is from RNAcentral. Lineage: Eukaryota; Metazoa; Chordata; Mammalia; Primates; Hominidae.
AGCCCCUCCAGCUGACUGGACAUUCCCAGCCACACUUUCCUUCCCUUCGCUGCGUUAGUUCUGCAUUUUUAUUUUAAAGCAGCUGGUAGAACAGCUGUCUCCCUGUCUAAAAGCAAAAGCUGACUUAUCUGAUGUAGAAAUAAAAUGUCACUCACUUGAUGUAUAUUUGCUUGUUGAGUUUUGCUAUUUUUACCACAAGUUUCCUAUAAAUUUAAAUGAGACCCGGCGCGGUGGCUCACGCCUGUCAU